UUUUUGUGUAGAGGUUUACCUUCGAAGCAUAAGUUAGACGCAGAGAAUAGGCUCAAGCGACUGUUUACCAAAAACACAGGUCCGUGCGAAGUUGCAAAACGAUGUAUACGGACUGACGCCUGCCCGGUGCUGGAAGGUUAAGGGGACUGGUUAGCUCUUCGGAGCGAAGCCGAGAACUUAAGCCCCAGUAAACGGCGGUGGUAACUAUAACCAUCCUAAGGUAGCGAAAUUCCUUGUCGGGUAAGUUCCGACCUGCACGAAUGGCGUAACGACUUGAGCGCUGUCUCCACCAUGAACUCGGCGAAAUUGCAGUACGAGUAAAGAUGCUCGUUACGCGCGGAAAGACGGAAAGACCCCGGGACCUUUACUAUAUCUUGAUAUUGGUACUCGGAACGUUCUGUGUAGCAUAGGUGGGAGACUUUGAAGCGGCACGCCAGUGUUCGUGGAGUCAAAAAAUGAAAUACCACUCUGAACGUUUUGAGUUUCUAACCUCGGCCCAUUAUCUGGGUCAGGGACAGUGUCUGGUGGGUAGUUUAACUGGGGCGGUUGCCUCCCAAAAAGUAACGGAGGCGCUCAAAGGUUCCCUCAGCCUGGUUGGUAAUCAGGUGUCGAGUGUAAGUGCACAAGGGAGCUUAACUGUGAGACAGACAUGUCAAGCAGGUGCGAAAGCAGGAACUAGUGAUCCGGCGGUGGCUUGUGGAAGCGCCGUCGCUCAACGGAUAAAAGGUACCCCGGGGAUAACAGGCUGAUCUUGCCCAAGAGUCCAUAUCGACGGCAAGGUUUGGCACCUCGAUGUCGGCUCGUCUCAUCCUGGGGCUGGAGUAGGUCCCAAGGGUUGGGCUGUUCGCCCAUUAAAGAGGCACGCGAGCUGGGUUCAGAACGUCGUGAGACAGUUCGGUCCCUAUCUUCCGUGCGCGAAGGAAACUUGAGAAGGGCUGUCCCUAGUACGAGAGGACCGGGACGGACGAACCUCUUGUGUGUCGGUUGUUUCGCCAGAAGCACGGCCGAUUAGCAACGUUCGGAAGGGAUAACCGCUGAAAGCAUCUAAGCGGGAAGCUCGCUUCAAGAUUAGGUUUCCCACUGGUUUACCAGGUAAGACCCCCAAGAGACUAUUGGGUUGAUAGGCCGGAAGUGGAAGAGGCGCAAGCCUUGCAGCUGACCGGUACUAAUAGGUCGAGGAUUUAACUAC
Molecule: ribosomal RNA, 1189 nt
Filed under: marine metagenome
Description: bacterial LSU rRNA
Rfam family: Bacterial large subunit ribosomal RNA
Source: RNAcentral